RNAcentral lists this unclassified non-coding RNA (431 nucleotides) under Hevea brasiliensis (rubber tree). Lineage: Eukaryota; Viridiplantae; Streptophyta; Magnoliopsida; Malpighiales; Euphorbiaceae. The record is from RNAcentral.
UUCGAUGGCAAUAAAGAAGCGAGGGACGAUGCAGGGCGUCCAAUUGGGGAAAUUAUCAGGGAGUUUAUGUUCGUGACAGGAGCUCUUGUUCCUGGAGAUCUAAUUCCAUUCUUGGGGUGGUUGGAUAUUAAUGGAGUUGUGAAAACCAUGAAGCGUGUAACCAAGGAAGUAGAUGUAAUUGUGGAUAGCUGGAUUGAAGAACACAAGAAGAAAUCUGAUAAUGAUGCCAAAAAGGACUUCCUCGAUGUUAUGCUUUCGGUUGUGGAGGAUGAUGCUUCAAUGGGUCUUGACCGUGAAACAAUUAUCAAGGGGACAACAACUGCUAUUAUCCUUGCGGGCUCUGAUACUACAGCAAUCACUACGCUAUGGGCCUUGUCCAGCUUGGUGAACAAUAGGCAUGCAUUGAAGCGUGCCCAAGAAGAGAUUGACCA